RNAcentral lists this ribosomal RNA (253 nucleotides) under uncultured bacterium. RNAcentral describes it as "partial 16S ribosomal RNA". It matches the Rfam family "Bacterial small subunit ribosomal RNA", at positions 524 to 776 of the family's 1533-position model. The record is from RNAcentral.
UACGUAGGGGGCAAGCGUUGUCCGGAAUCAUUGGGCGUAAAGCGCGUGUAGGCGGGUCGGUAAGUCCGCUCUGAAAGCCCGGGGCUCAACCUGGGAAUUGCAGUGGAUACUGGCAAGCUAGAGUGCGGUAGAGGAUGGUGGAAUUCCCGGUGUAGCGGUGAAAUGCGUAGAGAUCGGGAGGAACACCCGUGGCGAAGGCGGCCAUCUGGACCAGCACUGACGCUGAGGCACGAAAGCGUGGGGAGCAAACAGG